UUUGAAGAGGUAGGAUUUGUAAGAAAACAAUAAGAGUAAAAGGAGUUACGGCAAACAAUUCAUACCUAAAUCUUAAACAUAAAACAAUACUCUAAAAUAGCACACAUAAAAAGGAGCAGACAAAAUUUAUGCAAGAACAACAAAAGGAGCACACAAAUGCAUCAAGGCAAAAAGUCUAAUUCAUUGAAAUAUUUGGAGAAGAAGUCGUACCUAUUUCGACGUAAAGGAAUUCAUUCGAUUUGGUUAUCUUAUACGUGGUCAAUUUAGAAGCAUCGUAACAAUGUGGUUUUCGGUAAUCAGGAUGGCUUAUUAGGUUCACCUUUUGAUGAUAUGAUUAAACUUCUGGUGUGGCCAUAGAUCAAGUUUAAUGAUAAGGCAUUUUCUUAUGACUACUAUCAAUGGAGCACUCAAUCACUCAUAUUUGAAGUAUUUUUUUUGUCGGUUAAUUUCAUUUAUUUUUCGGUUUGAAGACAUCGUUAUUUUGAUGCAUUUUAUGUAAUCAUUGACGGUAGUUUUUUUUUUUUUUUUAUCGUAACAUGUUAUGGUUUUAUUUUUAGUCAUGCUAUGGAAUGUUGCAGACAAAUUCCUGUUAUGAAAUGGUGCAGACAAAUUCCAUUUUCUUAGACAUUUUUUCUCAACCAAUUUGGGUCUUAUGUAGUUCUGAAAUGUUGAAAACCUAAUUAUCAAUGCAGUUUGAAUUUCU
Molecule: long non-coding RNA, 703 nt
Filed under: Medicago truncatula (barrel medic)
Lineage: Eukaryota; Viridiplantae; Streptophyta; Magnoliopsida; Fabales; Fabaceae
Description: lncRNA gene7931
Source: RNAcentral